AAAUUUUAAAACAAAUAAAAUCUCAUAUGGUCAGUUUAACAUGCAGGUUCAAUAAAUCGUGUUCCGAAAUGUUGGAAUCAGAGGUUUUAGAGGAAACUUUGUUGUUUUUCCUAGUGAUAAAUACAAUUGUUUUCAUAAAAUAAUUUAAUUUUGCUCUAAAUUUUAAGAGUAAUUUAUGUUUUCUAUUAAAUAGUGCCUCAAACUUAUUAAAACUGACUGAAUUGUGUAUUUUUUAAAAUUAAAUAAAUGUUCAUUUCCUUGUUUGUUUUAUACUGCAACAGCUUUUAAAUGACUGUGGGAAAAUCUCUAGUCCUAAAAAAGUGGUUUUAAUCCGUUAAACACAAGAAAUAGCAAGAAGAAAGCUUAUUAAAAACAUCUAACCUACAAUUUCUACAAGUGCAGCAGAAACAAAUUACUCUGAGUGUAAUCUCUUGAUUUUAGAUGUUUUUAAGGUUUACCAAUCAGUGAGUUUAAGAAGUAAUUAUUCAAAUGUGUUUAGUUUGAUUUCAAAAAUGUAAUGCAUUGAAGCUAAAUGACUUUGUACUUUAAUCUGUACUUAAUCAUUGUACGCAGUAAGGAAGCUGCUUAAAGAGAUAAAGACUGACCUUUGAACCUUCCAUGAAUUGCAUGAUAAACUUUGCGAUGGCGGUGAACAUGCUGUAAUUCUUUUAAAGUGAAACUGUUCCUUAAUGCUAAAAAUCUCUUCUUUUAAAUCGUAUUCAGGCGUGGACAAAAAAAACUCAGUCAUGCUCUUUUAUAUCUCCCUUUCGUAAGUAUGUCGAAUCCUCCUUUUUGAAGUCUACACCCUCCUGGACGUCCACUUGACUGAGGGUUGCUUUAUUUCAGGAUUCCUGCCUAUUUAGGAUGCAUCGCUCUGUUUAUUUUGUGGUGCCAUCUUGUAAAAAAACGCAGAGGAGCUGCAGAAAGGUCCAACGAUCUCAGCGCCUCUCCAUCUGUAUACUUCGUCCCUAUUUAUGAACUCGAGCAGGACUUCAAUGAAGCAUACCUUCCAUCUUCUGACAGAGACUCUUCUUCGUUUGACUCAGGAAAUGUGACUCUUCCUCCUCCAUACAUGACUGAACCACCAUCAUACUCCGAACUUCCUCCAUCAUAUACGGACCCUCCACCUUACAGCGAAGAUCCGUGACCCUCCUCCUCCUCCUCUUUGUCUACCUAAGUACUUAUUUAUGUGAUCAAUGCUGCUAAAACAUGGCUGAAUUAUGCAACAAAAUCACAGCUGAGGGUUUGCUGAUAAAAUUCUGUCGGAUCACUAUUUUACAAUCUCUCUUCAUGAAAGAAGAAGCAGAAGUUACCUCACAGCCACUGAUAACCAGAACAGACCUGCACUGGAUUUGGUGCAGAAAUGUGAACAGCAGUGACAUGUUUUGUCAUGUUGUGUUUUAUUAAAAAGAGCACUUUGAUAAAUUAAAAAAUAGAAUUUUUAUAAAGGAGAUUAUGUGUGUAAAGGACAUAGGAGAGUGCUGUACAUUUAAAAAUAGGUAUAUGCACAAUGAUUUAAGGUGUUUUCUCAUAAUAAAAUACUUUGUUUUCCAUUAAUAUUUUGUGUUUUAUUGAAAAAAAUCCAACAACCCAAUUACUUUGGUUAAAAAAAAGGAGGAAAUUUGAACACCACAAUGCUGCUUUAUAAAAAGUUACUUUUUAUCACAUCAUUAAUAAACAACAUUAAACAAGUAAAAACGUUUAUGAAUAAACCGUAAAAUGAAUUGCCUUUUUUCCGAUCCUCAUUUAUUUAAAAAAUAAAUGCACUGAUUUAAAAUAAUUAGAUUUUUUAAAAUUAUUGAUAAUUUAAGAUUUUAUAUAUCAUCUGAUGAGCUAAAAUUGAAAGUUUUAAGUUGUUAAAUAUUUUGCAAUAUUUAAUAAUUUACAUGUAAUAGUUUUAAAUAUAUUAUAGUUGUCUGCAGUAUUCUAAACUGAUUUAGCUUCGUCAAUACAAAAUAAAAUAAAAACGUCUUGAGUGUUUAUGUGCAGGACAAUGUGCAUGUCUCUUUAAGGCUGAUGUUGAUGCUGUAAAACCUCUUCUAUCUAUGCACCUCCCUGACCGACAUAACCCUCUCAUUGCACCACAGGCUGGGUAACUUUUCUUUUUAAUUAAAAUAAAAAAAGGUAAGAAUCGAUCUUUUAAUAUUUACAACCCAUUUAAAUCUAUCUUAAACAUUUCUGGAAAUUAUGGACUUUCUUCUGAUUCAUCUGCAAUCUCAUGGUUAAAGAUCAACUUGUAGUCGAGCUCUUAACAGGUAUAAAUCAGAUGACAUGAUUAUUAUUUUUCUCCUUUUUGUGGCGCUGCUUUCUUCCACUACAGGUAGUUUAUUCUGUGCACUAUACACAACUUUUAAAGCUAAUGAAAGAUGAGGGAUCAAUCCAACCCUUUGAAUGAACUAAAGUGUUAAUAAUUUGAGGUAAAAGCAAAAAAUUCAACCUGAGAAAUGAAACAAAGCAUGUCACAUUUUCAAACUCAAACCAUUUUUUAUCAAAGAUUAGAUUUUUAUAAUUUCUACUGAAAUUUACGCUUCAAUUUAAAGUUUCAAUGUACAAAGACAAACUUUGAAUUCAAACCAAAUUCGUAGGCAUAAAAAUUCUUCUGUUUGUGUUUCAUGGCAGGUUAGAUUUCUACAGCUAUGGGUUUAGACAUAAAUUAUUUUCCAAUUCUGUAAGUAUGAUAGUCUAACAUUUCCAGUACUCAUUUUUUAGAGGAAGCUGCCUUUACUUGACACGUGGCAAAAUGUGUUUCCAGAAUGCCAUUUUUGGUGCUAUUUGUGGCUACCAUACUCGUCUGCUUGUGCUUGUUCUUCAAAAAGGAGAAAACAGAGUCAGAACAUCAGAUCGAGUUGGAAGAACCUCCUAAUUACAGCGGCAUGGAUCACCCUCCACCAUACUCACUGUAUGACCCUAAGCUGACAGACAUUUGGAGAAGAAGCCCACCUCCUCCCUAUGACACGUGUCCUGUGAUGCAGCCUAAUGGAUGGAGGAC
This is a long non-coding RNA of Oryzias latipes (Japanese medaka), 2989 nucleotides long. RefSeq lists it as uncharacterized. NCBI's taxonomy places the organism in Eukaryota, Metazoa, Chordata, Actinopteri, Beloniformes, Adrianichthyidae. The record is from RefSeq and is a predicted model, not a curated record.